RNAcentral lists this ribosomal RNA (492 nucleotides) under uncultured bacterium. RNAcentral's name for it is "partial 16S ribosomal RNA". It matches the Rfam family "Bacterial small subunit ribosomal RNA", at positions 29 to 507 of the family's 1533-position model. The record is from RNAcentral.
AGUGAACGCUGGCGGUAGGCCUAACACAUGCAAGUCGAACGGCAGCACAGUAAGAGCUUGCUCUUACGGGUGGCGAGUGGCAGACGGGUGAGGAAUACAUCGGAAUCUACUUUUUCGUGGGGGAUAACGUAGGGAAACUUACGCUAAUACCGCAUACGACCUACGGGUGAAAGCAGGGGAUCUUCGGACCUUGCGCGAUUGAAUGAGCCGAUGUCGGAUUAGCUAGUUGGCGGGGUAAAGGCCCACCAAGGCGACGAUCCGUAGCUGGUCUGAGAGGAUGAUCAGCCACACUGGAACUGAGACACGGUCCAGACUCCUACGGGAGGCAGCAGUGGGGAAUAUUGGACAAUGGGCGCAAGCCUGAUCCAGCCAUACCGCGUGGGUGAAGAAGGCCCUCGGGUUGUAAAGCCCUUUUGUUGGGAAAGAAAAGCAGCAGGUUAAUACCCCGCUGUUCUGACGGUACCCAAAGAAUAAGCACCGGCUAACUUCGUG